Molecule: long non-coding RNA, 620 nt
Organism: Mirounga angustirostris (Northern elephant seal)
Lineage: Eukaryota; Metazoa; Chordata; Mammalia; Carnivora; Phocidae
Exons: 2
Source: RefSeq, a predicted model, not a curated record
UUGAAAUUCGGCGUCAGACAGAGAUCCUUGACUUGUAUGUUUGGGAUUUUCCAUAAGGGAUUUUUUUUUUUUUUUAAAUGCCUGUGGCACAACCUCGGUGAAUUUUGAAAACAUCAUGCUAAGUGAAAGAAGCCAGACACAAAAGGCCAACUUCUGGAAAAGGAAAGAAUUACCUGAGCAUCUGGCCAGAAGAUGAGCAUCACCCUUGACCCAGACUGGGUAUUCACCCAAAAUAGACCUAAUCUAACGCAGCUUUUUAGAACUAUCCGGUGAACAGAAGUGUGCAAUUCCUCCGAAGUCACAGAGCAAAGGAGUGGACGAAGGAGAAGGAAUUUGCUUACAGAAGCCAAGCUGCCCCUGUGACACUGACUGUGCCCCAACCCCCUCCUCCACUCUCUUCUCAAGGGACCAUCCUCCACUCUGGACCUACUCACCACUUACAGUCAAGCCUCAAUCAAGCAAGGCACAUCACUCCUACUGGGCACCUAACUCCUGUGUAGAGCACCACUUCUGGAGAUGAGAAGAGGCUGAGCCUACAACCUCCUUUGUGGCAUCUUUAUUUUUCUGUCUGGUACAUGAACAAAGUGAACAUGGUCAAUAAAAUCAACUGCACUGAAACA